Molecule: transfer RNA, 64 nt
Filed under: Dipodomys ordii (Ord's kangaroo rat)
Lineage: Eukaryota; Metazoa; Chordata; Mammalia; Rodentia; Heteromyidae
Rfam family: tRNA
About the family: Transfer RNA (tRNA) molecules are approximately 80 nucleotides in length. Their secondary structure includes four short double-helical elements and three loops (D, anti-codon, and T loops).
Source: Rfam by way of RNAcentral
GGUGGCUCAGUGGUAGAGUGCUUGCCUUGCAUGCACGAGGUCCUGGGUUUGAUCCUCAGCACCA